RNAcentral lists this long non-coding RNA (501 nucleotides) under Elaeis guineensis (African oil palm). Its description in RNAcentral is "long non-coding RNA (EGUI_LNC072572)". The record is from RNAcentral. Lineage: Eukaryota; Viridiplantae; Streptophyta; Magnoliopsida; Arecales; Arecaceae.
UUCUAUAUAAACAGCGAUAAAAUUAAUCAUAAAUUAUUUUAGAACUAUUCUAAAUAUAUUCAUGAUUCUAGAUUUUAUUUGCAAAGAUUAGAUGUAACUACUUUUCAUAUAAUGUAUCAUAUACACAAUCUUAAAAUUUUGAGAAAAGUAAAUUUUUUUUUCGUAUUCAUCUUCAUGGGAUAUAGUCACAAUGACAUCCCUACACAUCAUAAGAAGAUCCAAUUGAAUAGAAAAAAGAGAGAUCUAAUCUCUAUUAUCUCCUAUGACCGGAUGGCCUGGUGACAAAUCCGAUAUGAUUACUUCGCUACUCAAAUCAUCUAAUCUAAAUACUUUAGAUCUAAUCUAAAUUAUUUAAGAUCUGAUUAUUAUAUUUUAAUUAUAUCAAAAUUAAAUAAUAAUUAUCAUAAAUAAAUUUUAUAUACUUUAAAUUAAAAUCAAAUUUUAUAAAGAUCAGUACAAACUAGGACAACCUUUACACUGUAAAGGAUAAACCUUACAACA